Non-coding RNA from Pseudohyphozyma bogoriensis, 87 nucleotides. The record is from the annotation of a GenBank genome assembly. Lineage: Eukaryota; Fungi; Basidiomycota; Microbotryomycetes; Chrysozymaceae.
GGUUCGAUGGUGUAGUUGGUUAUCACGUUUGCCUAACACUUCCAAGUGGUACGCAAAAGGUCUGGAGUUCGAGCCUCUGUCGAAUCA